RNAcentral lists this ribosomal RNA (450 nucleotides) under uncultured bacterium. RNAcentral describes it as "partial 16S ribosomal RNA". It matches the Rfam family "Bacterial small subunit ribosomal RNA", at positions 338 to 795 of the family's 1533-position model. The record is from RNAcentral.
CCUACGGGAGGCUGCAGUGAGGAAUAUUGGUCAAUGGUCGGAAGACUGAACCAGCCAUGCCGCGUGCAGGAAGACGGUCCUAUGGAUUGUAAACUGCUUUUGUACGGGAAGAAACACUCCUUCGUGAAGGAGCUUGACGGUACCGUAAGAAUAAGGAUCGGCUAACUCCGUGCCAGCAGCCGCGGUAAUACGGAGGAUCCAAGCGUUAUCCGGAAUCAUUGGGUUUAAAGGGUCCGUAGGCGGUUAGAUAGAAAUCCGGCAGCUUAACUGUCGAACUGCCAUUGAUACUGUUUGACUUGAAUUACUGUGAAGUAACUAGAAUAUGUAGUGUAGCGGUGAAAUGCUUAGAUAUUACAUGGAAUACCAAUUGCGAAGGCAGGUUACUAAUGGUUUAUUGACGCUGAUGGACGAAAGCGUGGGGAGCGAACAGGAUUAGAUACCCCUGUAGUC